Molecule: ribosomal RNA, 579 nt
Filed under: uncultured bacterium
Lineage: Bacteria
Description: bacterial SSU rRNA
Rfam family: Bacterial small subunit ribosomal RNA
Source: RNAcentral
CCUACGGGAGGCAGCAGUAAGGAAUAUUGGUCAAUGGACGAAAGUCUGAACCAGCCAUGCCGCGUGAAGGAUUAAGGCCCUCUGGGUUGUAAACUUCUUUUAUCUGGGACGAAAAAAGGGUAUUCUUACUCACUUGACGGUACCAGAGGAAUAAGCACCGGCUAACUCCGUGCCAGCAGCCGCGGUAAUACGGAGGGUGCAAGCGUUAUCCGGAUUUACUGGGUUUAAAGGGUGCGUAGGUGGGCUUGUAAGUCAGUGGUGAAAUCUCCGGGCUUAACCCGGAAACUGCCAUUGAUACUAUAGGUCUUGAAUUAUCUGGAGGUAAGCGGAAUAUGUCAUGUAGCGGUGAAAUGCUUAGAUAUGACAUAGAACACCAAUUGCGAAGGCAGCUUACUACGGAUAUAUUGACACUGAGGCACGAAAGCGUGGGGAUCAAACAGGAUUAGAUACCCUGGUAGUCCACGCCCUAAACCGAUGGAUACUCGACAUCAGCGAUACACUGUUGGUGUCUGAGCGAAAGCAUUAAGUAUCCACCUGGGAAGUACGAUCGCAAGAUUGAAACUCAAAUGAAAUUGACGG